RNAcentral lists this unclassified non-coding RNA (305 nucleotides) under plant metagenome. RNAcentral describes it as "partial contains 5.8S ribosomal RNA, internal transcribed spacer 2, and large subunit ribosomal RNA". The stretch from base 1 to 105 matches the Rfam family "5.8S ribosomal RNA", at positions 50 to 154 of the family's 154-position model. The record is from RNAcentral.
GAAAUGCGAUAAGUAGUGUGAAUUGCAGAAUUCAGUGAAUCAUCGAAUCUUUGAACGCACAUUGCGCCCCUUGGUAUUCCAUGGGGCAUGCCUGUUCGAGCGUCAUCUACACCCUCAAGCUCUGCUUGGUGUUGGGCGUCUGUCCCGCCCCCGCGCGUGUACUCGCCCCAAAUCCAUUGGCAGCGUUCCUUGCCCCCUCUCGCGCAGCACAUUGCGCUUCUCGAGGGCGGCUCCGGGACGCGAUCCAGCAAGAUGACCACCGUCUUUGACCUCGGAUCAGGUAGGGAUACCCGCUGAACUUAAGC